GAUGAACGCUGGCGGCGUGCUUAACACAUGCAAGUCGAACGGAAAGGCCCAAGCUUGCUUGGGUACUCGAGUGGCGAACGGGUGAGUAACACGUGGGUGAUCUGCCCUGCACUUCGGGAUAAGCCUGGGAAACUGGGUCUAAUACCGGAUAGGACCACUUCUGGGAUGUUGUGGUGGACAGUUUUUUCGGUGUGGGGUGAGCUCGCGGCCUAUCAGCUUGUUGGUGGGGUAAUGGACUACCAAGGCGUCGACGGGUAGCCGGCCUGAGAGGGUGUACGGCGGCCUUGAGACUGAGGGACGGCCCAGACUCCUAAGGGAGGCAGCAGUGGGGAAUAUUGCACAAUGGGCGCAAGCCUGAUGAAGAGAGGCCGCGUGGGGGAUGACGGCCUUCGGGUUGUAAACUCCUUUCGCUAGGGACGAAGCGUUUUGUGACGGUACCUGGAGAAGAAGCACCGGCUAACUACGUG
This 467-nucleotide ribosomal RNA is filed under the name uncultured bacterium. RNAcentral's name for it is "partial 16S ribosomal RNA". It matches the Rfam family "Bacterial small subunit ribosomal RNA", at positions 28 to 507 of the family's 1533-position model. The record is from RNAcentral.